GGUACCAUUAGAAUAAGCACCGGCUAACUCCGUGCCAGCAGCCGCGGUAAUACGGAGGGUGCAAGCGUUAUCCGGAAUCACUGGGUUUAAAGGGUGUCGUAGGCGGCUUAAUAAGUCAGUGGUGAAAUGCCCGCGGCUUAACCAUGGGAUUGCCAUUGAUACUGUAUAGCUUGAAUGAGUAUGAGUUGGCGGAAUGUGGCAUGUAGCGGUGAAAUGCUUAGAUAUGCCAUGGAACAUCAAUUGCGAAGGCAGCUUGCUGGGCUUCAUUGACGCUGAGGCACGAAAGCGUGGGGUAGCAGAACAGGAUUAGAUACCCUGGUAGUCCACGCCCUAAACGAUG
RNAcentral lists this ribosomal RNA (340 nucleotides) under uncultured bacterium. Its description in RNAcentral is "bacterial SSU rRNA". It matches the Rfam family "Bacterial small subunit ribosomal RNA", at positions 474 to 811 of the family's 1533-position model. The record is from RNAcentral.